Molecule: ribosomal RNA, 238 nt
Filed under: uncultured bacterium
Lineage: Bacteria
Description: partial 16S ribosomal RNA
Rfam family: Bacterial small subunit ribosomal RNA
Source: RNAcentral
CGGCGGACGGGUGAGUAACGCGUGGGUAACCUGCCUCAUACGGGGGGAUAACAGUUGGAAACGGCUGCUAAUACCGCAUAAGCGCACAGUACCGCAUGGUACCGUGUGAAAAACUCCGGUGGUAUGAGAUGGACCCGCGUCUGAUUAGCUAGUUGGUGGGGUAACGGCCUACCAAGGCGACGAUCAGUAGCCGACCUGAGAGGGUGACCGGCCACAUUGGGACUGAGACACGGCCCAA